CGGCGGGCUGGCCGGGAUGCGGCGGACAUGGAGCGCGCAGCUCAGCUCCGAGGAGGCCGAGCAGCAGUGGCUGCCGUUGUUCCGGCACCCGCCGG
RNAcentral lists this transfer RNA (95 nucleotides) under Arthrobacter saudimassiliensis. Its description in RNAcentral is "tRNA-Ala". The record is from RNAcentral. Lineage: Bacteria; Bacillati; Actinomycetota; Actinomycetes; Micrococcales; Micrococcaceae.